Molecule: ribosomal RNA, 507 nt
Filed under: uncultured bacterium
Lineage: Bacteria
Description: bacterial SSU rRNA
Rfam family: Bacterial small subunit ribosomal RNA
Source: RNAcentral
UCUGGCUCAGGAUGAACGCUGGCGGCGUGCCUAAUACAUGCAAGUCGUACGAGGGAAGUCCAGCUUGCUGGACGGAACGAGUGGCGAACGGGUGAGUAAUACGUAAGCAACCUGCCUGCAAGGACUGGGAUAACACCUGGAAACGGGCGCUAAUACCGGAUAGGUAACAAAGGGGCAUCCCUAUGUUAUUAAAGGUUAGAAACACAAGCAGAUGGGCUUACGGUGCAUUAGCUAGUUGGUGAGGUAACGGCCCACCAAGGCGAUGAUGCACAGCCGGCCUGAGAGGGUGAACGGCCACAUUGGGACUGAGACACGGCCCAGACUCCUACGGGAGGCAGCAGUAGGGAAUUUUCGGCAAUGGACGAAAGUCUGACCGAGCAACGCCGCGUGAGUGAAGAAGGUUUUCGGAUUGUAAAGCUCUGUUGUAAGGGAAGAACAGCACGGAAAGAAUCCGUGAAUGACGGUACCUUACCAGAAAGCCACGGCUAACUACGUGCCAGCAGCUGC